RNAcentral lists this non-coding RNA (209 nucleotides) under Roseburia intestinalis. RNAcentral describes it as "T-box sequence". It matches the Rfam family "T-box leader". Rfam says of the family: Uncharged tRNA acts as the effector for transcription antitermination of genes in the T-box leader family. T-boxes are found upstream of many aminoacyl-tRNA synthetase genes and some amino acid biosynthetic genes usually in Gram-positive bacteria. The record is from RNAcentral. Lineage: Bacteria; Bacillati; Bacillota; Clostridia; Lachnospirales; Lachnospiraceae.
AGAAACGCAUUGAAGAGAAGAGUACUGAUCGGAAAUUUUAAAGAGAGAGAUACAUUUUGGUGUGAGUAUCUUAAAAUGGAACUUCAGGAAGACCAUCUCUGAGCGGCCCUAAUCCGGUCCGGUGAUUCCGUUAUCAUCAAAAUGAGUGAUUUUCCACAUGGAGAUAAACGGGGUGGAACCGCGGAUAAAAAUGUUUAUUCGUCCCUUAU